GUGUCAACACAUAAGCACUGCUUAUGUGUGGACUUUCGGUGGAGGAACCAAACUCAUCAUUAACUCCGGCCCCAUGGUCAGUCCCUCAGUCUCUCUGCUUCCCCCCCUCCUCUGAGCAGCUCUCUGGGGGCUCGGCCACGCUGGCCUGCCUGCUGACUGGCUACUCUCCUCAGGGAGCCGUGGUGAGCUGGGAUGUGGACGGUACAGUGGUGACAGACGGGGUCCUGAGCAGCUCAGAGGAGGAGAAGAGCGGACGCUACAGCAGCAGCAGCACCCUGAGCCUGAGCCAGGAGCGCUGGAUGUUAGGAGAGCUGUACACCUGCAGGGUCCUCCAUCACGGCCACAGCGAGACCCAGUCCCUCCACAGGAGCCAGUGUCAGGGCUAGAGGGGCCGGCUGAAGCCCAGGACAGGAGCUCUGUGUGGGGGGAGCAGGAGGAACACACCUGCUGCUCUCAUCAAUAUGAGUUUUAACGUUUAAUAACUGUCAUGUUGAUGAUGAUGUUGCUAAUAAAGCUUUCACUGAUAAAUAA
Cottoperca gobio is the source of this 531-nucleotide non-coding RNA. NCBI's taxonomy places the organism in Eukaryota, Metazoa, Chordata, Actinopteri, Perciformes, Bovichtidae. The record is from the annotation of a RefSeq genome assembly.